Oncorhynchus keta (chum salmon) is the source of this 900-nucleotide long non-coding RNA. RefSeq lists it as uncharacterized. The record is from RefSeq and is a predicted model, not a curated record. Lineage: Eukaryota; Metazoa; Chordata; Actinopteri; Salmoniformes; Salmonidae. The transcript is spliced from 5 exons.
AAACAGAAGAGGUCGUACCGACAUCAGACGAGUCCCGUGAGUCGUAAAACAGAAGAGGUCGUACCGACAUCAGACGAGUCCCGUGAGUCGUAAAACAGAAGAGGUCGUACCGACAUCAGACGAGUCCCGUGAGUCGUAAAACAGAAGAGGUCGUACCGACAUCAGACGACUCCCGUGAGUCGUAAAACAGAAGAGGUCGUACCGACAUCAGACGAGUCCCGUGAGUCGUAAAACAGAAGAGGUCGUACCGACAUCAGACGGGUCCCGUGAGUCGUAAAACAGAAGAGGUCGUACCGACAUCAGACGAGUCCCGUGAGUCGUAAAACAGAAGAGGUCGUACCGACAUCAGACGAGUCCCGUGAGUCGUAAAACAGAAGAGGUCGUACCGACAUCAGACGAGUCCCGUGAGUCGUAAAACAGAAGAGGUCGUACCGACAUCAGACGAGUCCCGUGAGUCGUAAAACAGAAGAGGUCGUACCGACAUCAGACGAGUCCCGUGAGUCGUAAAACAGAAGAGGUCGUACCGACAUCAGACGAGUCCCGUGAGUCGUAAAACAGAAGAGGUCGUACCGACAUCAGACGAGUCCCGUGAGUCGUAAAACAGAAGAGGUCGUACCGACAUCAGACGAGUCCCGUGAGUCGUAAAACAGAAGAGGUCGUAUCGACAUCAGACGAGUCCCGUGAGUCGUUAAACAGAAGAGGUCGUACCGACAUCAGACGGGUCCCGUGAGUCGUUAAACAGAAGAGGUCGUACCGACAUCAGACGGGUCCCGUGAGUCGUUAAACAGAAGAGGUCGUACCGACAUCAGACGAGUCCCGUGAGUCGUUAAACAGAAGAGGUCGUACCGACAUCAGACGAGUCCCGUGAGUCGUUAAACAGAAGAGGUCGUACCGACAUCA